CAUGCAAGUCGAACGGAAACCUUCGGGUUUUAGUGGCGAACGGGUGAGUAACACGUAAGCAACCUACCCUUAAGACGAGGAUAACAAUUGGAAACGGUUGCUAAGACUGGAUAGGAAAAGUAAAGGCAUCUUUACUUUUUUAAAAGACCUUCUUUGAAGGUAUGCUUAAGGAGGGGCUUGCGACACAUUAGUUAGUUGGCAGGGUAAAGGCCUACCAAGACUAUGAUGUGUAGCUGGACUGAGAGGUUGAACAGCCACAUUGGGACUGAGACACGGCCCAAACUCCUACGGGAGGCAGCAGUAGGGAAUUUUCGGCAAUGGAGGAAACUCUGACCGAGCAACGCCGCGUGAACGAUGAAGUACCUCGGUAUGUAAAGUUCUUUUAUUAAGGAAGAAAAAAGAGUGGAAAAACUCCCUUGACGGUACUUAAUGAAUAAGCCCCGGCUAAUUAUGUGCCAGCAGCCGCGGUAAUACAUAAGGGGCGAGCGUUAUCCGGAAUUAUUGGGCGUAAAGGGUGCGUAGGCGGUUUAAUAAGUCUAUAGUUUAAUUUCAGUGCUUAACGCUGUUGUGCUAUAGAAACUGUUUUACUAGAGUGAGUUAGAGGCAAGCGGAAUUCCAUGUGUAGCGGUAAAAUGCGUAAAUAUAUGGAGGAACACCAGAGGCGUAGGCGGCUUGCUGGGACUUUACUGACGCUGAGGCACGAAAGCGUGGGGAGCAAACAGGAUUAGAUACCCUGGUAGUCCACGCUGUAAACGAUGAGUACUAAGUGUCGGGUAAAACCGGUACUGAAGUUAACACAUUAAGUACUCCGCCUGAGUAGUACGUACGCAAGUAUGAAACUUAAAGGAAUUGACGGGACUCCGCACAAGCGGUGGAUCAUGUUGUUUAAUUCGAAGAUACACGAAAAACCUUACCAGGUCUUGACAUUUUCUUGCGAAGUUAUAGAAAUAUAAUGGAGGUUAUCAGGAAAACAGGUGGUGCAUGGUUGUCGUCAGCUCGUGUCGUGAGAUGUUAGGUUAAGUCCUAAAACGAGCGCAACCCUUGUCGUUAAUUGCCAGCAUGUAAUGAUGGGGACUUUAACGAGACUGCCAAUGAAAAAUUGGAGGAAGGUGGGGAUUACGUCAAAUCAUCAUGCCCCUUAUGAUCUGGGCUACAAACGUGAUACAAUGGUUGAUACAAAGAGUAGCUGAAACGCGAGUUCUUAGCCAAUCUCACAAAAUCAAUUUCAGUUCGGAUUGAAGUCUGCAACUCGACUUCAUGAAGUUGGAAUCGCUAGUAAUCGCGAAUCAGCAUGUCGCGGUGAAUACGUUCUCGGGGUUUGUACACACCGCCCGUCAAACCACGAAAGUUGGCAAUACCCCAAAGCGGUCACCUAACUUCGCAAGAAGAAGGAUCCGUCUAAGGUAGGGUCGAUGAUUGGGGUUAAG
Molecule: ribosomal RNA, 1427 nt
Filed under: 'Citrus sinensis' X-disease phytoplasma
Lineage: Bacteria; Bacillati; Mycoplasmatota; Mollicutes; Acholeplasmatales; Acholeplasmataceae
Description: bacterial SSU rRNA
Rfam family: Bacterial small subunit ribosomal RNA
Source: RNAcentral